AGAAUGAAUAUCAUUUUAGAAUAUUUUUUGCAAAUUUAGUUCUAAAGUUGAUAAUUUGUUCAAUGAUUUGGAGUCCUACAUGUAUUUUUUUCAUCAAGCACAAAACAAUUUAAUUUUUUAAAUAAAAAAACUGUCAGUUGUAUAUAAUGAACUCCAAUUAACUAAUUUAUCAAAAACUCAAUGGAUAGCAAAAGCUGAAUCAUUAAAAACCGUAUGGCAUUCAAUUUAUGUUAUUGUAGAUGCUUUAAAAAAAAUCAGUUAUUGUCAGUUGUUGAUCUUUGAUUCAAAAAUAAAACACAGUGCAAAAGCAUUAUAUAAAAAAUAUUAAUAUUUGAUUUUAUAAUAUCCUUAAUGUUCACGAAAAAUAUAAUUUAAAAUUAAAAUUCUUAAUGAAAUUUGUAUAAUCAGAACAAUUGAAUAUAAUAGAUGUUACACUUUUAAUUUAUAUUAUAAAAUCAUUAUAAGAAAUAAAUAAUGACACUAUUGUUAUAAAUAAAUUAAUUCAAAGUGCAAUCUCAUUUGCAGAAAAUUUCUUGGUGUGUACAGAAGAUGAUUACAAUAAGCAUCACCAAAGAAGAAUAAGACCAAAGACAAUAAACAUGACCUGAAAACCAAAUUGAUUUUAAUUUAAGAUCAUAUUACUGAAAAGAAUUUAAGAUAAUUUUGGACAAUUUGAUAUAAUGGUGUGAAGAUUAUCUUAGUAUUUACAUUAGCAAAUUUAUAGCAUCUUAUAAUAUAUUUAAUUCACCUAUCAACUGAAGAUAAUAUUGAGAAAGCAUUCAAUCUUUUCCAGAAUAAUAAAGAUAAAAAAAUUUAUUUGGAAACUCUACAAAAGAACUAGAAGUUCUUUGUGAUAACUGUACAGAUCUUAAGACUUUAAAAGAAAUCAUUGAAAAAGCAAAAAGUUUGAAGGAUGUUUUUUUCCAUUGGCAAACAGUCUUUACAUAUUAUUGUUAAUUGCUCCAGUAAUAAUGGCUUCAAACAGACUUUCAGCAAGUUAAAAUUUGUGAAAUCAAAUAUUUGCUUAACUAUGACUGAUAAUAGACUAGAUACAUUAAUGAUCAUUAGUUGUGAAAAAAAUAUUUCUGGAGAAAUUGAUUUAAAAGCACUUGCAAAAAGUUGGUUCCUUCUAAAAAACAGAAGAAUAAAUAUCUAACUGCAUUGUAUCAUUCUGGUGAGAUUUAUCAGGCAUUUCUGUCACUUCCUGUUGAUAUUAAUUAUUGACAUUCUAUUCUAAUGAUCAAGCUAACUGAAUAUAUGUGGUUUCCCAAAUUCAAAUCAAUUUUAACUAAUAUUGUAUGUUAUAUUUUUAAAUUGUGUUUUCUUCAAUUACUCAGUUUCCAAAAUAAAUAAAUAUUUAAAAACUUUCAAUUGAUAAAAAUAAAUUAAUUUUAUUUAGUCAUAUGACCAGUCAGCAAAUUUUCAUUGUCACCCUCCACUAGCUAUUCAUUGUUAUUAAUUUGUUUUGAUUUUAUUUUCUUGUUUGAAGUAAAAUAGUUUAUUUAACACUGAAUUGUAAAUAUUAUUUAAUUAAAUAAAUUAACUUUAUUAUUCACUUUAUUGUAUUUGACAAUUUAUUUAGCAGUUAUAAGUUCAGUAACCUAUUUGAUUGUAUCAUCAAUUAGUUCUAAAACUUUCAUUAUUUUUUCUCAACUGUAUUGUUUCCAUUUGCUUGUUUUUUAUGAAUUAAUGAUAGAUUUAGAAUUUGGCAUCCAAAUUUAGGAAGACCUGGCCAAGCUAAACUCUGGACUAUUACUACAAGAUUUGAGGUUAGUGUUAAAUAUUGGGAUUGUAAAAAUAGGAAACUGUCCAAUUUAUCUGCAUUAUUAAAUUAAUUUUUUAAAUUUUUUUGGUAUAGAAAAAAUAAUGGUUGAUUAUUCUGCAGAAAAGGCUCAUUUGCAAUAAGACAGCAUUUUCAUUUGUUUUCUCUGCAAUCAAUAUCUAGAUUUUAAAAUUUCUUAUUUAACUGCCAACUUGCAUAUAUAAUUGUUUCAGUAUAACAAUUUUAUAUAUAUUUAAUUUUUAUUACUCAUAACUGUAACAAUAAUAUAAUUCAUUUAUUAUUUAAUAUUUUUAGCAC
RNAcentral lists this long non-coding RNA (2080 nucleotides) under Androctonus crassicauda. Lineage: Eukaryota; Metazoa; Arthropoda; Arachnida; Scorpiones; Buthidae. The record is from RNAcentral.